Molecule: non-coding RNA, 46 nt
Filed under: Schistosoma mansoni
Lineage: Eukaryota; Metazoa; Platyhelminthes; Trematoda; Strigeidida; Schistosomatidae
Source: RNAcentral
ACACUGCUGAAGAGUCCCAUAAUAGGACGAAACGGCCGUCCAGUGU